CACCCCACUGGCUCCUAUUUGCAGACCCCAUUUCAGUACGGUGCCCUCACUGAACACCUGCAGGAUGCACAGUCCGAUGAUGCAAUAAAAACAUUUUGCCCUGCUUGUCUCUUACAUUAAAUAAUUCUGGAUCUGUCUCUAAAUACAAAUAUAAGGAUGAACUGUAGGCUGUAUAAGCACAAACACCAUGGUGGUUCAUCUUCCAGCUCCAUGAUUUUCCUUGCCCAGACACAUCCUUCUAGACCCACCUCUACAUACUGGACUCUGCCUUCCAAACUUCCAGCAGAACCAGAUGCUGAAAUAGAGAGCAGAACUCCUGUGGACAUCAGAGAGUGCAGAACUGAGCCAUCAAGAAGUUGCAAGAAGGUCUGGAUAUAAUGACAGCCAGAAGCUUGGAGAAGAGAGCAAAAGAAAGCUCAAUCUGUACAUGCCGUGUCCUUAUGCUGUGCUAAGUAUCCACGAAGACCACUGCUGGAAACCGGAUAAAAGGCUAGAUGGACUUCUCCUCUAAUCUAUGGCCAUAUUUAUAUUUUUAUGAGCUGGCUUCUGUCCAGGCAGGUUGAGAGUCCUGCACUUCCUGGGAUUAUCCAGUGUCCCACUAGAAUACAACAGUCCACACAUUCAUUUACAGGUUUGAAGACCAGGAUGGUCUAGAAAAGUAACAAAUUUGAUUUUCUGAAUGGCCACGUCUGGCAUAAUUUACAUGGCAGAUCCAACAUCUAGAACAUUUCUUGCUCUAACUUGUAACAAAACACAUGGCAAGCAAAAGGCCAUUCUUUCUAAGGUGAGUCCUGAUAUUUGCUGUGAAACCCACUCACCAUCACCUGCUUUAGAGAUGGGGAAAAAAGGAAGAAUGGGAACAGUGCUGAACUGAUUAAAUCUGCACAUAAAUCCAUAUGUUAUGUUAUUGAAAAAGGAGGGAAGGAAGAAGAAAACAAGCAUUUGUAACAGGAUGAAAUCUGGGAAAAUGGGACCAAAAACUCUUCGUAAUUCAAAGCAGUUGUGGGAGUUCUGAGCCCAUAAGCCAUAAAUGACUAAAACAUGUCCCUGCAUUUUGGAUUAUGAAAAAGAUAUUAGGGUGGGUUUUUCUCUCUUUUUAAUGGGAUUUGAUGGAAUGCCAAAAUAUCAGAGUUUGGGUCUUUCUCUUUUUAUUUUUUAUUUUUUUAUUUUUUAAUGGCUCAACUUGCCAAAUGUGCUCAUGAAUGCUAUUUUGC
Molecule: long non-coding RNA, 1214 nt
Filed under: Anas platyrhynchos (mallard)
Lineage: Eukaryota; Metazoa; Chordata; Aves; Anseriformes; Anatidae
Description: lncRNA (ENSAPLG00020011328.1)
Source: RNAcentral